UUAAUAAACGCGUAGGUUACUACUAAUCGAACCUACACCAAUGGCCAGUAUAGUCAU
Molecule: transfer RNA, 57 nt
Filed under: Pinus koraiensis (Korean pine)
Lineage: Eukaryota; Viridiplantae; Streptophyta; Pinopsida; Pinales; Pinaceae
Also listed under: 1 other name
Description: tRNA-Thr
Source: RNAcentral